UCGUAAUAAGAAUAAUAAUAGUAAUAAUAAUAAUAAUAAAAUACACCAGUUAUCUAUAUUAUGCUAAUUUUACUAUGAUCCCAUAAAUUUAUUCUAUUUAAAUUAAUACAAAUUCAAAAUCAUAUAUCAUUAAAAAUAUAAAAAAUCUCCGAGAUCUAAUUUAAACCAAAAAGUAUGAAAUCAAACAAAAAGUCAAUCAAAACGAUACUAUCCUGUAUAUUAAAAUAAUCCAAGUGAAUUUAAGACCAGAUAUGAUUAAGCCAUUCACUGAUAAAUUUCAUCAGAAUAAUAGCGGAUGGCAACGGAAAAAUGGGGACGGGGCAGGCUGGUGACUUUUUCCAAAUCUCCGGCGUGAACGAAAACGGAGGAGGAGGAGUGACAGCCUUGUUUUUCGGCGAAGAUGGGUUUGGUCGGUGGUUUUUCGCUGAUUUUGGGUUCGGUGGCAGGCGGGAGGUGACUGUGGAUCGACGGGAAAGGGAAUAGGGACAGGGCCAAGCUGAAGACGCCAUUUCCGGCAUGUAACAGUUCCGGGUGGAGCCGUUUUGGUGACUGUUUCGCCGAAAAAGAUGACGGCGGCACGACUGAUUAAGAAACAACGGCGGUAUCCAUGGGGUUUUGCCGAAAACGGGACGGGAAAAAGGACGGCACGCAAUGAAUUGGUUCACCUGCGCCGAUCAAUGGAAAAAGACAUUUUUCCCGGCGAGAUUUAGCUGGUUUUUUCAGCCAUUUCUCGCUGGAUUUCGAGCAAAAAUGGCUAAUUGGCGCUUUUGAGUGAGAAACAAGAACAUCCGGCGGCAAAACAUUUUAGGGACGGUACCGACGGUGUAUUUACCCCCAAAACAAUGACCACGCCGUCAGUUUUCUCUUUCUCACCUUCACCACUUUUCCCCCUCCGUUCAAUCUCUAAAAUUCUCAAUUUCCCCUUAAUUUUUCUGUCAAUUACAUUACUGUAUGUGUUGGUGUGUGAAAGAUAGUGUAUUGUGAAGAGAAAAAUACAAUGCAAAUGGUGUGUGCAGUGUAUUUUGGUAGUGAUCAUUUUUCAUUAUUUUUUUUACUGACAUAUUUUUUCUCACUGUCUGUAUACAUAUUCUCCAUUUGGGCGUGUUUAUUGAUGCGUGAAUACAGAAUUUUUCUCGUGUACAACUAUAAAUAUUCAAUAAUUUAAUUUAUGUAAUAUAUAACAACAAAAAUUCACAUAGUUGAUCAAUUUCACAUAUUAAAUAAUAUAAUGAAAUUACUUGAACAAUUUUGUUCAUACUUUUCUAUAGUAGAUUUAUAAUGUAAAUAGUAUAGGGUUCAAGAAAAAUUUGUAAUGAAUUAAAUUGAAUAAUACCCAAAAAAA
Molecule: long non-coding RNA, 1342 nt
Filed under: Capsicum annuum
Lineage: Eukaryota; Viridiplantae; Streptophyta; Magnoliopsida; Solanales; Solanaceae
Description: long non-coding RNA (CANN_LNC021287)
Source: RNAcentral